GAUGAACGCUGACAGAAUGCUUAACACAUGCAAGUCAACUUGAACUUCGGUUUGGGUGGCGGACGGGUGAGUAACGUGUAAAGAACUUGCCUCACAGAUAGGGACAACAUUUGGAAACGAAUGCUAAUACCUGAUAUUAUGAUUAUAUGGCAUCGUAUAAUUAUGAAAGCUAUAUGCGCUGUGAGAGAGCUUUGCGUCCCAUUAGCUAGUUGGAGAGGUAACGGCUCACCAAGGCGAUGAUGGGUAGCCGGCCUGAGAGGGUGAUCGGCCACAAGGGGACUGAGACACGGCCCUUACUCCUACGGGAGGCAGCAGUGGGGAAUAUUGGACAAUGGACCAAGAGUCUGAUCCAGCAAUUCUGUGUGCACGAUGAAGUUUUUCGGAAUGUAAAGUGCUUUCAGUUGGGAAGAAAAAAAUGACGGUACCAACAGAAGAAGUGACGGCUAAAUACGUG
This 454-nucleotide ribosomal RNA is filed under the name uncultured bacterium. Its description in RNAcentral is "partial 16S ribosomal RNA". It matches the Rfam family "Bacterial small subunit ribosomal RNA", at positions 28 to 507 of the family's 1533-position model. The record is from RNAcentral.